UGUCUAAAACAGAAUGGAGAGGUUUGGGGAUCAGACAUCUAUACAGAUGUGAGAUGAGUUAAUAGACCUAUCUUGUGAUAAAUACUGUUUCACCUUUUGUUUCACCGUCUCAUUUUAAGUAUUAAUAAGAACAAUCCAGAGGAAAAGUUAUCAGCAAGAAUAUUUAACUAUUUUCCAUUAUAAUAGCGCUACGCCUAAAGGAACUCUCCCAAUAACAUAGCCAUAAUAAAUGAAACAAUCCAAACACUACAACCAUUACAAUCUGAUGUAGUGGUUAUGGUGUCAUUAAUGCCUUAACACCUUACCAGGAUAGAGCCCUCAGUUCCAGCCAUUGAGGCAAAUCUGCACAGCAGAGCUUAGCUCAGUGAAGCUCAUAACAUGUGCCGUACACUUACCAGAUAAGUUGUCAAACUGUUCCAAAAGGUUAGAUUACUUACAAUUGUAGAGAACCACUUAACUACUGGCACCAUAACCACCACAGUGGUUGUAGUUUUUAUGGUUCUUAGAGUGUUCCAUUAACCCAAUAACUUUACUUUAUAUAUAAUCCUUGUUGUGAUUUCACAGUACAUGUCCACUUAUGUCAUAAAAAAUGCCAAACUACCUGCUGUUAAUCAAUAUGAGAACAUCCAUAUCAGAAUUGUAGCCUUCAUUAUUUCAGAAGGGCAGUUUGGCCAUUUGUCCUUCUACCACUAUGCUUUUAAAUGUUCAAGUACUUAAAUACUAAAUACAACACAAAGUAAGAAUGUGAUAUAAACAAAAUACAAACAUAGUUAAUUAACAUAAAUUAUAUAUUUCUGUUAUUAGGAAUCUGCAGUUUGUCGAGCUGCAAUCCAUUCAAACUUCAUGGGAGAUCAAGGUGGGAGUGUAAUUCUUCAAAAGAUACAGGGACAGGAUAGCUACAAGGAGUCCACCAGAAACGGAGUGACCACGAAACCACAGGGCAAAUGGUCUGGAUCAUUUAUACUGAGUUUGUCAUAUGAAUCUCAAAGCACCACAUACACAGAGUACUCUUAUACAUUCCCACAAACAGGUGACUUUCUUUACUUGCUUUGCUAUCCACGGCCUCAAUUUAAUAUUAUUAGAUAAGCUUUUCAAAUGAUUUCAUAUUUUUGGAUAAACUUUUUUUUUUUUACAUUUUAAAAUACCAAAAAAUAUAUAUAAUUUACAUAAAAUAUUCAAAAAAUAUCACAAAAUAAAAAUAUAUUCAUGAUAUUAAAUUGUUUUAAGCAUUUAUUUAUUAACUCAUUUUAAAAGCUUAUGCAACAAUAUUAAAUGUAGGCCCAUAUAUUAUACUAAGGAUGUUUCUGUAUCUUUACUGUACACUAACUUUUUGUUUUUCGUUUUGAAAUAGGAAUGGCUGGGCAGUCAAAACCAGAAACAGGUAACUCAUCAUUUCAUUUCUUCCAUUAUUUACAGAAUUCAUGUUCCACUCUGGAAUAUGAUCUUGGUGAACAUGGUGAAAUGCAAGAUUUUACAUUUUCAUAACUGUGACAACAACAACUAUUUAAUGUUACUGGGAUUAUGGGAACUAAUAAAAAGAUAGCUUGUGUCAGCCUAAAUAGCCCUGGUGAAAGAAUUCUUUGCUAUUUUGGUCUAAAAAUGUAAUUCCCUUGUCAGUCAUCCACAAUCCCUGCUUAGUAAAUUAAUAUUAUUGUAACAGUAUUAGUAGUCGCAUUUAUAUAGGGAGAUAUAUAUUCUGAAGCACUUUAAAAUUUUAAAUGGUUGAUUUAACCCCUUAAGGACACAUGACACGUGUGACAUGUCAUGAUUCCUUUUUAUUCCAGAAGUUUGGUCCUUAAGGGGUUAAGAGCAAAUGAGACAGACUAUUAGAAAUGUUUGCAGCAAGAGCAGUGAACAGUAUGUAUGUUUUAUCUUUCAUUCUUCUAUAUUUGUCCUCUCAUUUACAAAUACUAAAACUAUUAUAACAAAAAAAUUAUUUAAUAAACAAAGUUGUGAGUAAUUAUUUGGCCAACUUUACCCUGAAUUAGUACCUAGAUUUUAGUUUCAUUGCUAUUACUUUUUUAAUAAAGGAACAUCUAAUCGCAUUGGUUUCUUGGAUAGUGUGUCACUGACAAAGUGGGAAACAGAUUGCAUAAUAAAAAAAUUAAAAAAACAAGUAUAAUAAUGGGUUUAAUAUUGCAUAUAAAAUAAAUAUGAAUCCCACCGGAGCCUUCCUACUACUGACAGUGAAUAAGUAACAUUAGCGCAUGCUUCAUGUUAAAAAUGUAUUCCUGUAACAAAGCAAUCUACAAUACAAUCAUGCAGUAAAUGAUGAAAACUUUCCCUCAAUCUAACUUUAAAAUUAUUUUGUAUUAGUUUCAGCAGAAUGUUGGUGGACAGGGGCACAAUUACCUGGACCUUAUACAAUGUAAGUAAAGUCACAGAAAGUACAGUUUCAAUUUAGAAAACAGCAGCUAUAUUGGUAUUAUACUAACAGUUCCCCUUUUUGGUGGGAAAGUCCCUAUUCCAGGGUUCUGUCCCCCUAUCCCAAUUUUGAUCCCUGGUGUCCAGCUAUUGAGGACAACAGGGGCGGGUCUACAGAAAGUGUACAACAAGUUCAUUAUUAGACCUGCAUGUUCUAUGUUCAGAGUACUAGGACCAAGCAUAGAGUGCAGAAACACUGUACUCUUUAUUGUUCACCCUUAGUGUGUUCGACUACUUGAUUGGCACGCCAAACUGAACUGCCUAUUCUUCAGGCGGAUCCACCUGCUUAGGGAGGUGCAAGUGACACAAUUCAUAUAAUUGUGUCACUUAUGCCUCCUGCUCCCUUUCACUUCACCCACCAGCGUUCCACUUUACAGGACACUUUACAUGACUGCUAUUUGGGGAUAUGUAUCAAGCGUAUGCAUAAUUUUACUCUUUCGCCACUACAUUUUAUUUCUGAUUUGUUUGCUGAGAAGGAAAGGUUUGGAAGGAAAAUUAAAGGGUUUGAGAAAAACAGGGUCUUACCUAGAGCAGAGGUAGCCAGUUUUUACCCAUAUCUCCCAUGUCUGCUAGAAGCAUUACCAGCAUAUUCCCAUGUGAUUAAUACACUAAACUGGGUAUUGACGGGAACUGACAACGUGUAAUGCUUACCUGCUCCAGCGCUUCUUCUCUCUAAUUCAAUGGCGGGACAGUUGCAGCAUGCUGCUUGUGCGCACCUGUUUGUAGCCUGUCGCGCCAACGACAGAACGGCACGACUCUGAGCACCGAUUCGGUCAGCACAAACGAACACAGAAAACUCCAAAAAUUCGGCAUUCGUACAAAUUCGGGUCUUUACACGUUCUAAAAUGAUACCAGCCAAUAGUGUUAAUGCUCUGGCUAUUUAAAGUCAGAGCUUGGUGGAGCAAGUUGCCCUGUUGUGGUUCUUGUUGACCCAAGAGUGAGUUUCAUCUUUAUUAUUGUAUUGGAUAACACAUAGUACAAUGGCAUAGCUAAUAUUGGUUGACCAUGAAAACUCAAUGUUUCCAGUUUUGGCUAUUUUGGCCUAGAACUUGCAGUUCCCUUGUCAACGUUCCAUUAUUUCUGGUCUAAUGAAAGUUCUUCUAAGUACCACCAAGCUCAAACUGUUAAAACUGUUAACUGAUUUCUGACUAAACAAAGAAAAGGAUUGCAAUAGAGGGCACUUCUUGCGUUAGUGACUGAUACUGGUACCUGAGGGAAUAAUAUGUUACAACCAUUAGCUUUUCAAACAUGCUACAAUAGCAUCUCAGACUGUUCUGCUAUGAUAUUACAUCAUUGUUUCUUCUUUCUUUUAGAAUUAUUUGUCCUGAUGGAUGUCUG
This 3762-nucleotide long non-coding RNA is filed under the name Pelobates cultripes (western spadefoot toad). The record is from RNAcentral. Lineage: Eukaryota; Metazoa; Chordata; Amphibia; Anura; Pelobatidae.